GAACAAUUUUAAAAUAUUAUCAAUUUCAAUUCAAAUUUUGUUCUUUAGAGAAAGAGAGUUCCAAGUCAAGAGAAGGACGAUAAAUUGAUAAGCAUGAGAAUGAAAGCCUUUUUAGUUAGCUAAACAGGCAUAAUAUAUAAUUAAAAAAAGGACAAGAAGCUGUAUAACAUAAUCCCCUUUAAUUAAAAAGAGAGUAACACUGAAAUGAAUGUGGGCAAUUAUGUUGCCAUGAAUUUAUCACAACUUGGAAAAACUAAUUUUGCCACUUAAAAAUCGUAAUUGAGGAAGCAAUAGAAGCAAGGGGAAGACAAGUAGAGUGAAGAAAAGUAGAAUGAAGUCGAAAACAAUAAUGUAAAAACGUAAAUUGACUUUUGAAAGCUAUUGGACAAGUGUAUUGUCUAUUGAAGGUAGAAUAAGA
Molecule: unclassified non-coding RNA, 418 nt
Filed under: Hevea brasiliensis (rubber tree)
Lineage: Eukaryota; Viridiplantae; Streptophyta; Magnoliopsida; Malpighiales; Euphorbiaceae
Source: RNAcentral